RNAcentral lists this ribosomal RNA (864 nucleotides) under uncultured archaeon. Its description in RNAcentral is "bacterial SSU rRNA". It matches the Rfam family "Archaeal small subunit ribosomal RNA", at positions 1 to 872 of the family's 1478-position model. The record is from RNAcentral.
UCUGGUUGAUCCUGCCAGAGGUCACUGCUAUUGGGAUUCGACUAAGCCAUGCGAGUCGUGAGGGUUCGGCCCUCGGCGAACGGCUCAGUAACACGUAGAUAAUUUGCCCUUAGGUGGAGGAUACCCUCGGGAAACUGAGAAUAAUACUCCAUAGAUUUAGAAUGCUGGAAUGCUUUUAAAUCAAAAGAUUUAUCGCCUAAGGAUAAGUCUGCGGACUAUCAGGUCGUAGUCAGGGUAAAUACCUGACUAGCCUACGACGGAUACGGGUUGUGAGAGCACUAGCCCGGAGAUGAUAUCUGAGACACGAUAUCAGGCCCUACGGGGCGCAGCAGGCGCGAAAACUUCGCACUGUGCGAAAGCACGACGAGGGGAUCCCAAGUGCUGGCUCGUAAGAGUCAGCUGUUUCUUUGUCUAAAAAACAGAGAGAGUAAGAGCUGGGUAAGACGGGUGCCAGCCGCCGCGGUAAUACCUGCAGCUCAAGUGGUGGCCGCUAUUAUUGGGCCUAAAACGUCCGUAGCCGGUUCUAUAAAUGCCUGGGUAAAUCGUACGGCUUAACCGUACGAAUUCCGGGUAGACUGUUCAACUUGGGACCGGGAGAGGCUAGAGGUACUCCUGGGGUAGAGGUGAAAUUCUGUAAUCCUAGGGGGACCACCAGUGGCGAAGGCGUCUAGCUAGAACGGGUCUGACGGUGAGGGACGAAGCCCUGGGGAGCAAACGGGAUUAGAUACCCCGGUAGUCCAGGGUGUAAACGCUGCUCGCUUGAUGUUAGUCGGGCUCCGAGCCCAACUAGUGUCGGAGAGAAGUUGUUAAGCGAGCUGCCUGGGAAGUACGGUCGCAAGACUGAAACUUAAAGGAAUUGGCGGG